Molecule: microRNA precursor, 66 nt
Filed under: Sorex araneus (European shrew)
Lineage: Eukaryota; Metazoa; Chordata; Mammalia; Eulipotyphla; Soricidae
Description: miRNA (ENSSARG00000019554.1)
Source: RNAcentral
GUAGAAUGUGAGUGCCUAGUGGGCCACUUCUGGUAGGCAGAACUGGCACUGCAGGAUGAACGGAAC